CGUGGAUUGGCGCAGUUGGUAGCGCAUCGGUCUGAUAUGCCGAGGGUCUUUGGUUCGAAUCCAAAAUCCACGACCA
RNAcentral lists this transfer RNA (76 nucleotides) under Bacteroidales bacterium. RNAcentral's name for it is "tRNA-Ile". It matches the Rfam family "tRNA". Rfam says of the family: Transfer RNA (tRNA) molecules are approximately 80 nucleotides in length. Their secondary structure includes four short double-helical elements and three loops (D, anti-codon, and T loops). Further hydrogen bonds mediate the characteristic L-shaped molecular structure. tRNAs have two regions of fundamental functional importance: the anti-codon, which is responsible for specific mRNA codon recognition, and the 3' end, to which the tRNAs corresponding amino acid is attached (by aminoacyl-tRNA synthetases). tRNAs cope with the degeneracy of the genetic code in two manners: having more than one tRNA (with a specific anti-codon) for a particular amino acid; and 'wobble' base-pairing, i.e. permitting non-standard base-pairing at the 3rd anti-codon position. The record is from RNAcentral. Lineage: Bacteria; Pseudomonadati; Bacteroidota; Bacteroidia; Bacteroidales.